This is a long non-coding RNA of Spea bombifrons (plains spadefoot toad), 2388 nucleotides long. RefSeq lists it as uncharacterized. The record is from RefSeq and is a predicted model, not a curated record. The transcript is spliced from 2 exons. NCBI's taxonomy places the organism in Eukaryota, Metazoa, Chordata, Amphibia, Anura, Pelobatidae.
CAGGUAGUGGAGAUAGAGGGAGGGAAGAUAAUGAGUUCCGUUUUAGAAAGAUUAAGUUUCAGGUAGUGUUGUGACAUCCAUGAAGAAAUAGCAGACAAGCAGCUGGUGAUCCGGGACAUGAGAGAUGGAGAGAGAUCAGGAGAAGAUAGGUAGAUUUGGGUAUCAUCUGCAUAUAGAUGAUACUGGAGGCCAAAUGAGUUGAUUAGUUUGCCAAGAGAGGAAGUAUAAAGAGAGAACAGCAGAGGGCCAAGGACUGAACCUUGGGGGACACCAACCGAAAGUGGAAGGGGCGAUGAUGUGUUGCCUGAGAAGUUGACAGAGAAGGAACGGUUAGACAGAUAUGAGGAGAUCCAGGAGAGAGCUGUAUCUCGAAUGCCCAUAGAAGCAAGUGAGUCAAGAAGAAGGUGGUGAUCAACAGUAUCGAAAGCAGCAGAGAGAUCCAGUAGUAUUAGAAUAGAGUAGUGACCUUUAGCUUUGGCAGAGAGCAAGUCAUUGGAGACUUUUGUUAGAGCUGUUUCAGUAGAGUGAAGGGGUUUGAAACCAGACUUUAGUGAGGCGAUUGUACACAAUCCGUUCAAGCAGCUUAGAGGUAAAAGGAAGCAGAGAGAUAGGGCGGUAGUUAGUCAAACAGACGGGGUCUGAGGAAGGAUUCUUUAGAAUUGGUGUGAUUAACGCAUGCUUGAAGGCAGAUGGUACAGAUCCAGAUGAUAGAGAAAGAUUAAAUAGGUGGGUAAGUGAUGGACCAAGGGAUGGACAUAGAGACUUUGUGAGGUGUGAAGGGAUAGGGUCAAGGGGACAGGUUGUUGGGUGAGAGGAAGAAAGAAGAGUGGCUAUCUCUUCUUCGGUUGUAGGGGAAAAGGCAGUUAGUAUAGUAGGAGUAGAGAGGGUGGUGGUGAGUGGUGUAGGAGGGAGUUGUAAGGAAGAGAGGUCUUUUCUAAUAGUCUCGAUCUUCUCUUUGAAGUGGGUAGCAAGAUCUUGGGCAGUGAGAGAGUUUUGUGGUGUGGGUGUGGAGGGACAGAGAAGGGAGUUGAAAGUAGAAAAAAGGCGUCGUGGGUUGGAAGAAAAAGAGGAUAUGAGAGUGGAGAAGUAGAGCUGUUUGGCGAGAGAGAGGGCAGAGUUGUAGGUGUGAAGCAUGAAUUUAUAAUGAGUAAAGUCUUCGCUGGAUUUUGAUUUUCUGAAGUAACGCUCAGCUGUGCGGCAGCACUUCUGAAGAUACCGUGUGGUUUUGGUAUGCCAUGGUUGGCGUUUAAAUUGUCGGGGGUAACUUGUAGUAAUUGGAGCUAUGGUGUCGAGGGAUGAAGCAAGUGUGUUGUUGUAAAAAGAGGCUGCUGUGUCUGGGCAGGAAAGGGUUAACAAGGAAGGUAAGAGAGGUUCGAGUGAGGCUGACAGUUGGGUAAUGGUAUUUUCUGGUAAUGGCCUACAAGUAUGAGGUGAGCGCUGUAAGUUUGUCUUGUUAGGGGUUAGCACUGGAGAAAAAGAUAGGAGGUGGUGGUCAGACAGAGGGAAGGGGUAGAUGGAGAAAUCUGAAAGGGAGCAUGAUCUGGAGAAAACCAGAUCAAGUGAGUGUCCCUCGGUGUGCGUAGGGGAAUUAGUCCAUUGAGAGAGACCAGAGGAAGAUGUCAGGGAGAGGAGUUUGGAGCUAGCAGAGUUGUUAGAUAUAUCUAAAGGGAUGUUAAAGUCACCCAGAAUAAGACAGGGGAUGUUAGGAGAGAGGAAGAAAGGGAGCCAGGCAGAAAGGUGGUCAAAGAACUGCGGGGUAGGACCUGGAGGGCGAUAUAUGACAGCAAUUUGAAGAGAGAGUGGAGAGAAAAGACGGAUUGUGUGAGCUACAAAGGAACAGAAUGAGAGGGAGGGAGGGCUUGGUAUAUUCUGGAAGGUGCAGUGAGGUGAGAGAAGGAUGCCUACACCACCACCCUUUCUGCCAUCAGGCCUAGGAGUGUGGCUGAAGUGUAGUCCUCCGAAGGAGAGUGCAGCAGAAGCAGUAGUGUCUUGGGAGGGGAUCCAGGUUUCAGUAAGAGCUAGGAGGUUAAAAGCAUGGGAUAGAAAAAGGUCAUGUAUACAAGCGAGUUUGUUGCAUACCGAGCGGGCAUUCCAUAGGGCACAGUUAAAGACGGGAGGGAGUUUAUGGUUGGAGAUGAUAGGAAUAAGAUUGGUUAGGUUGCGCAUGUUGAUUGAGUUUGCUGGUUGAGAAUGAUAGGAAUAGGACAGGAGUGGUAGAGCAAAUGCAGGUAGGUUUCACAUAUAAAGGUUGAGUGUAGAGGUACUGGGAUAGCUUUGACAGCAGAGAGAUUGGGAGGGAUAGGAUCUGGAAUGCUUUAAUGGGGAGUAGUGGGUAAUAAAGGGAUCCAGAGUUUGGUGCCCCCUACUGGCGUGAUCCAAUAGAUCCGG